GCGGGCGUGGCGGAAUGGUAGACGCAGCAGGUUUAGGUCCUGCCACCGCAAGGUGUGGGGGUUCGAGUCCCUUCGCCCGCACCA
This 84-nucleotide transfer RNA is filed under the name Haematobacter genomosp. 1. RNAcentral describes it as "tRNA-Leu". It matches the Rfam family "tRNA". Rfam says of the family: Transfer RNA (tRNA) molecules are approximately 80 nucleotides in length. Lineage: Bacteria; Pseudomonadati; Pseudomonadota; Alphaproteobacteria; Rhodobacterales; Paracoccaceae. The record is from RNAcentral.